UUCCCUCCGAAGUUUCCCUCAGGAUAGCUGGAGUUCAUACAUGCAGUUUUAUCAGGUAAAGCGAAUGAUUAGCGGUCUUAGGGUCCAAAUGACCUUAACCUAUUCUCAAACUUUAAAUUGGUAAGAAUUGUGACUUGCUUAAUAAUUAUUUGAAGCCAGACACUCGAAUGCGAGCUCUUAGUGGGCCAUUUUUGGUAAGCAGAAUGCGGGAUGAACUGAACGCCGAGUUAAGGUGCCAAAGUCUACGCUCAUCAGAUCCCACAAAAGGUGUUAGUUGAUAUUGACAGCAGGACGGUGGCCAUGGAAGUCGCAAUCCGCUAAGGAGUGUGUAAACAACUCACCUGCCGAAUCAACUAGCUCUGAAAAUGGAUGGCCCUCAGGCGUCGCACCUAUACUCGGCCGUCGGAACAAGUGCGACGUUCCAACGAGUAGGAGGGCGCGGCGGUCGUGACGCAGCCUUUGGCGCGAGCCAGGGUGAAACGGCCGCCGGUG
Paramuricea clavata is the source of this 492-nucleotide non-coding RNA. NCBI's taxonomy places the organism in Eukaryota, Metazoa, Cnidaria, Anthozoa, Malacalcyonacea, Plexauridae. The record is from the annotation of a GenBank genome assembly.